UCGGGAAUUUUGGGCAAUGGGGGAAACCCUGACCCAGCAACGCCGCGUGAAGGAUGAAGUAUUUCGGUAUGUAAACUUCGAAAGAAUAGGAAGAAUAAAUGACGGUACUAUUUAUAGGGUCCGGCUAACUACGUGCCAGCAGCCGCGGUAAUACGUAGGGACCAAGCGUUGUUCGGAUUUACUGGGCGUAAAGGGCGCGUAGGCGGCAUGACAAGUCACUUGUGAAAUCUCUGGGCUUAACCCAGAACGGCCAAGUGAUACUGUCGCGCUAGAGUGCAGAAGGGGCAGUCGGAAUUCUUGGUGUAGCGGUGAAAUGCGUAGAUAUCAAGAGGAACACCUGAGGUGAAGACGGGUUGCUGGGCUGACACUGACGCUGAGGCGCGAAAGCCAGGGGAGCAAACGGGAUUAGAUACCCCAGUAGUCCCUGAGCGGGCUGGCAAGGCGCAU
Molecule: ribosomal RNA, 447 nt
Filed under: uncultured bacterium
Lineage: Bacteria
Description: bacterial SSU rRNA
Rfam family: Bacterial small subunit ribosomal RNA
Source: RNAcentral